Molecule: unclassified non-coding RNA, 347 nt
Filed under: soil metagenome
Description: partial contains 5.8S ribosomal RNA, internal transcribed spacer 2, and large subunit ribosomal RNA
Rfam family: 5.8S ribosomal RNA (bases 1-120)
Source: RNAcentral
GAUGAAGAACGUAGCGAAAUGCGAUACUUGGUGUGAAUUGCAGAAUCCCGUGAACCAUCGAGUUUUUGAACGCACAUUGCGCCCCCUGGUAUUCCGGGGGGCAUGCCUGUCCGAGCGUCAUUGCUGCCCUCAAGCACGGCUUGUGUGUUGGGCCCCGUCCUCCGAUCCCGGGGGACGGGCCCGAAAGGCAGCGGCGGCACCGCGUCCGGUCCUCGAGCGUAUGGGGCUUUGUCACCCGCUCUGUAGGCCCGGCCGGCGCUUGCCGAUCAACCCAAAUUUUUUAUCCAGGUUGACCUCGGAUCAGGUAGGGAUACCCGCUGAACUUAAGCAUAUCAAUAAGCGGAGGA